UCUGUGUAGCUUCGGAGCCUAUC
Molecule: non-coding RNA, 23 nt
Filed under: Cricetulus griseus (Chinese hamster)
Lineage: Eukaryota; Metazoa; Chordata; Mammalia; Rodentia; Cricetidae
Source: RNAcentral